UACGUAGGGGGCAAGCGUUGUCCGGAUUUAUUGGGCGUAAAGAGCGUGUAGGCGGCCUGAAAGGUCAGCUGUGAAAACUCGAGGCUCAACCUCGAGACGUCGGUUGAAACCAUCUGGCUAGAGUCCGGAAGAGGAGUGUGGAAUUCCCGGUGUAGCGGUGAAAUGCGCAGAUAUCGGGAAGAACACCCGUGGCGAAGGCGGCACUCUGGGACGGUACUGACGCUGAGGCGCGAAAGCGUGGGGAGCGAACAGG
This 253-nucleotide ribosomal RNA is filed under the name uncultured bacterium. RNAcentral describes it as "partial 16S ribosomal RNA". It matches the Rfam family "Bacterial small subunit ribosomal RNA", at positions 524 to 776 of the family's 1533-position model. The record is from RNAcentral.